CCUACGGGCGGCAGCAGUGGGGAAUAUUGCACAAUGGGGGAAACCCUGAUGCAGCAACGCCGCGUGAAGGAAGACGGUUUUCGGAUUGUAAACUUCUGUUCUUAGUGAAGAAUAAUGACGGUAGCUAACGAUCAAGCCACGGCUAACUAUGUGCCAGCAGCCGCGGUAAUACGUAGGUGGCAAGCGUUGUCCGGAAUUACUGGGUGCAAAGGGAGCGCAGGCGGGAAGCCAAGUCAGCUGUGAAAACUACGGGCUUAACUUGUAGACUGCAGUUGAAACUGGUUUUCUUGAGUGAAGUAGAGGUUGGCGGAAUUCCGAGUGUAGCGGUGGAAUGCGUAGAUAUUCGGAGGAACACCAGUGGCGAAGGCGACCAACUGGGCUGUAACUGACGCUGAGGCUCGAAAGUGUGGGGAGCAAACAGGAUUAGAUACCCUUGUAGUC
RNAcentral lists this ribosomal RNA (441 nucleotides) under uncultured bacterium. Its description in RNAcentral is "partial 16S ribosomal RNA". It matches the Rfam family "Bacterial small subunit ribosomal RNA", at positions 338 to 795 of the family's 1533-position model. The record is from RNAcentral.